RNAcentral lists this ribosomal RNA (439 nucleotides) under uncultured bacterium. RNAcentral describes it as "bacterial SSU rRNA". It matches the Rfam family "Bacterial small subunit ribosomal RNA", at positions 81 to 508 of the family's 1533-position model. The record is from RNAcentral.
CGGACCCUUAUAAGCGGCGGACUGGUGAGUAACGCGUGGGUGACCUACCUUUAGUUGGGGACAACUGUUAGAAAUAGCAGGUAAUACCGAAUACGGUUGAGGAGCUUUGACUUCUCAAAGAAAGGCGCUACGUGCGCCGCCUGAAGAUGGGCCCGCGUCCCAUUAGCUAGUUGGUGUAGUAAAGGUGCACCAAGGCGAAGAUGGGUAGCCGGCCUGAGAGGGUGAACGGCCACACUGGGACUGAGAUACGGCCCAGACUCCUACGGGAGGCAGCAGCUAAGAAUAUUCCGCAAUGGACGAAAGUCUGACGGAGCGACGCCGCGUGGAUGACGAAGGCCGAAAGGUUGUAAAAUCCUUUUGCAGACGAAGAAUAAGGCAGGUAGGGAAUGAUCUGCUGAUGACGUUAGUACUGCGAAUAAGCCCCGGGCUAAUUACGUGC